This 373-nucleotide ribosomal RNA is filed under the name uncultured organism. RNAcentral's name for it is "bacterial SSU rRNA". It matches the Rfam family "Bacterial small subunit ribosomal RNA", at positions 526 to 896 of the family's 1533-position model. The record is from RNAcentral.
CAGAGGGGGCAAGCGUUGUUCGGAAUUACUGGGCGUAAAGGGCGCGUAGGCGGCCUGCUAAGUCGAACGUGAAAUCCCUGGGCUCAACCCAGGAACUGCGUCCGAUACUGGUUGGCUUGAAUCCGGGAGAGGGAUGUGGAAUUCCAGGUGUAGCGGUGAAAUGCGUAGAUAUCUGGAGGAACACCGGUGGCGAAGGCGGCAUCCUGGACCGGUAUUGACGCUGAGGCGCGAAAGCCAGGGGAGCAAACGGGAUUAGAUACCCCGGUAGUCCUGGCCCUAAACGAUGAAUGCUUGGUGUGGCGGGUAUCGAUCCCUGCCGUGCCGAAGCUAACGCAUUAAGCAUUCCGCCUGGGGGAGUACGGUCGCAAGGCUG